This 2140-nucleotide ribosomal RNA is filed under the name Escherichia coli. RNAcentral describes it as "partial 23S ribosomal RNA". It matches the Rfam family "Bacterial large subunit ribosomal RNA", at positions 1 to 2165 of the family's 2925-position model. The record is from RNAcentral. Lineage: Bacteria; Pseudomonadati; Pseudomonadota; Gammaproteobacteria; Enterobacterales; Enterobacteriaceae.
GUUAAGCGACUAAGCGUACACGGUGGAUGCCCUGGCAGUCAGAGGCGAUGAAGGACGUGCUAAUCUGCGAUAAGCGUCGGUAAGGUGAUAUGAACCGUUAUAACCGGCGAUUUCCGAAUGGGGAAACCCAGUGUGUUUCGACACACUAUCAUUAACUGAAUCCAUAGGUUAAUGAGGCGAACCGGGGGAACUGAAACAUCUAAGUACCCCGAGGAAAAGAAAUCAACCGAGAUUCCCCCAGUAGCGGCGAGCGAACGGGGAGCAGCCCAGAGCCUGAAUCAGUGUGUGUGUUAGUGGAAGCGUCUGGAAAGGCGCGCGAUACAGGGUGACAGCCCCGUACACAAAAAUGCACAUGCUGUGAGCUCGAUGAGUAGGGCGGGACACGUGGUAUCCUGUCUGAAUAUGGGGGGACCAUCCUCCAAGGCUAAAUACUCCUGACUGACCGAUAGUGAACCAGUACCGUGAGGGAAAGGCGAAAAGAACCCCGGCGAGGGGAGUGAAAAAGAACCUGAAACCGUGUACGUACAAGCAGUGGGAGCACGCUUAGGCGUGUGACUGCGUACCUUUUGUAUAAUGGGUCAGCGACUUAUAUUCUGUAGCAAGGUUAACCGAAUAGGGGAGCCGAAGGGAAACCGAGUCUUAACUGGGCGUUAAGUUGCAGGGUAUAGACCCGAAACCCGGUGAUCUAGCCAUGGGCAGGUUGAAGGUUGGGUAACACUAACUGGAGGACCGAACCGACUAAUGUUGAAAAAUUAGCGGAUGACUUGUGGCUGGGGGUGAAAGGCCAAUCAAACCGGGAGAUAGCUGGUUCUCCCCGAAAGCUAUUUAGGUAGCGCCUCGUGAAUUCAUCUCCGGGGGUAGAGCACUGUUUCGGCAAGGGGGUCAUCCCGACUUACCAACCCGAUGCAAACUGCGAAUACCGGAGAAUGUUAUCACGGGAGACACACGGCGGGUGCUAACGUCCGUCGUGAAGAGGGAAACAACCCAGACCGCCAGCUAAGGUCCCAAAGUCAUGGUUAAGUGGGAAACGAUGUGGGAAGGCCCAGACAGCCAGGAUGUUGGCUUAGAAGCAGCCAUCAUUUAAAGAAAGCGUAAUAGCUCACUGGUCGAGUCGGCCUGCGCGGAAGAUGUAACGGGGCUAAACCAUGCACCGAAGCUGCGGCAGCGACGCUGAUGCGUUGUUGGGUAGGGGAGCGUUCUGUAAGCCUGCGAAGGUGUGCUGUGAGGCAUGCUGGAGGUAUCAGAAGUGCGAAUGCUGACAUAAGUAACGAUAAAGCGGGUGAAAAGCCCGCUCGCCGGAAGACCAAGGGUUCCUGUCCAACGUUAAUCGGGGCAGGGUGAGUCGACCCCUAAGGCGAGGCCGAAAGGCGUAGUCGAUGGGAAACAGGUUAAUAUUCCUGUACUUGGUGUUACUGCGAAGGGGGGACGGAGAAGGCUAUGUUGGCCGGGCGACGGUUGUCCCGGUUUAAGCGUGUAGGCUGGUUUUCCAGGCAAAUCCGGAAAAUCAAGGCUGAGGCGUGAUGACGAGGCACUACGGUGCUGAAGCAACAAAUGCCCUGCUUCCAGGAAAAGCCUCUAAGCAUCAGGUAACAUCAAAUCGUACCCCAAACCGACACAGGUGGUCAGGUAGAGAAUACCAAGGCGCUUGAGAGAACUCGGGUGAAGGAACUAGGCAAAAUGGUGCCGUAACUUCGGGAGAAGGCACGCUGAUAUGUAGGUGAAGUCCCUCGCGGAUGGAGCUGAAAUCAGUCGAAGAUACCAGCUGGCUGCAACUGUUUAUUAAAAACACAGCACUGUGCAAACACGAAAGUGGACGUAUACGGUGUGACGCCUGCCCGGUGCCGGAAGGUUAAUUGAUGGGGUUAGCCGCAAGGCGAAGCUCUUGAUCGAAGCCCCGGUAAACGGCGGCCGUAACUAUAACGGUCCUAAGGUAGCGAAAUUCCUUGUCGGGUAAGUUCCGACCUGCACGAAUGGCGUAAUGAUGGCCAGGCUGUCUCCACCCGAGACUCAGUGAAAUUGAACUCGCUGUGAAGAUGCAGUGUACCCGCGGCAAGACGGAAAGACCCCGUGAACCUUUACUAUAGCUUGACACUGAACAUUGAGCCUUGAUGUGUAGGAUAGGUGGGAGGCUUUGAAGUGU